UUUUUUUUUUUUUUUUUUUACAAAUUUAGUUUUAUAAAACACAUACUUUUCUCCUGUUUUACUAAAAAGUUAUGCAAAGAUUAAAAACUGCUUUGUGUUUUUCUCUUUAAUUAAAUAUGUGUUGGAAUUAUAUUGCAGCUUGAUGUCUUUGGAAAAGUCAGGUGGGGUUUAUUUCUACUGAAAAGAUGUAUAGUUUAAGAGAUGCCAGUGUUUCAACAUCAAUUAUCAGAAUAAACAUAUCUUAACUCUGACUUCUACAGGUAUGUUAUACAGAAGGUUCUUUUCAUAGUUAUUUCUUACCUGAUUGAAGGAAACUCAAAAAGACCCAUUGGUAUUAAAAACAAAUACUUCACUGAACUGGAAAAACUGCUGAUUAUCAGUCCUGGGGUGAACAGCCACUGCAUUUAGUUAGCCUCACCAUUGAAAAAGUUUUUCAUCUUAUAAGAUGAAUUAUAACUUUUGUAAGACUAUAUAAUAUGCUCAAGUAAUAAACCUUAUUGUUUCAUUUUAAAACACAAAUUUAAGUAUAGAGAUGAAUAGUUUGAUGAGCUGCACAGAAAGGGAAGACUGGAAAGAAAAAUUUUUUUUGCUUGCAUUAUACUUCUUUUUUUUUUUGUCUCUUUAGGGCCGCACCCCUGGCAUAUGGAAGUUCCCAGGCUAGGGGUCCAAUCGGAGCUGUAGCUGCCAGCCUACAUCAGAGCCACAGCAACGCGGGAUCCUAGCCACGUCUGAAACCUACACCACAGCUCAUGCAAUGCCGGAUCGUUAACCCACUGAGCAAGGGCAGGGAUUGAAGCCACAAACUCAUAGUUCCUAGUCGGAUUCAUUAACCACUGUGCCACGAUGGGAACUCCCUGUUUGUACCUCUUAAUCCCUUAUCCCUAUCUUGCUCCUCCCUCCUUCCCUCUCCCCACUGGUAAAUACUACUUUGUUCUCUAUAUUUGUGAGUCUGUUUCUUUUUUUUUAUAAUCACUCUUUCGUUUUACUUUUUGGAUUCCACAAAUAAGUGAUAACAUUCAGGAUUUCUCCUUCUCUGUCUGACAUAUUUCACUAGGCAUAAUAUCCUUCAGAUCCAUCCAUGUUGUUGCAAGUGCCAAAAUUUAAUUCUUCUUUAUGGUUGAGUAGUAUUCCAUUGUCUGUCUGUCUGUCUAUCUGUCUAUCUAUCUAUCUGUCUAUCUAUCUAUCAUCUAUCAAUUUAUCUCUCUAUAUCUCACAUCUUUAUCCAUUCAACUGUGGACACAAGUUGUUUUCAUAUUUUGGCAAUUAUAAAUAAUACUGCUAUAAACAUUGGGAUGUAGGUCUUUUUGAAUUAGUGUUUUUGUUUUCCUUGGAUAUAGACAAGGAGUGAAAUUGCUGGGUUAUAUGGUGACUCUAUUUAUGUUUUCCACAGUGACUGCACCAAUUUACACUCCCACCAACAGUGUACGAAGUUUCCCUUUUCUUCAUAUCCUUGCCGCAUUUGUCAUUCGUGUUCUUUUUGAUGAUUGCCAUUCAUCAUUCAUCCAGGUGCAUGUAUCUUUUUGAAUUAUAGUUUUCUCCAGAUAUACGCCCAGGAGUGGGAUUACCGGAUCAUAUGGUAACUAUUUUUAGUUUUUUAUGGAAUCUCCAUAUUCUUUUCCAUAGUGGCUCCAUCAGUUUAAAUUCCCACCAGUGGUGAUGAGGGUUUUUUUUCUCCCUAUCCUUGCCACCAUUUGUUAUUUGUGGUCUUUUUGAUGACAGCCGUUCUGACCAGUGAGAGGUGAGAUACCUCAUUGUAAUUUUUAUUUGCAUUUCUCUGAUAAUUAGUGAUGUUGAGCAUCUUUCCAUGUGCUUUUUGGCUAUCCAUAUGUCUUCUUGGGAGAAAUGUCUAUUUAGAUCUUCUGACCACUUUUUUAUUAGGUUUUUUUGGGAGGGCUAUGCCUAUGGCAUGUGGAAGUUCCUGGACCAGGGAUUGAACCUUCACCACAGCAGUGACCAAGGCUGCUGAAGUGACAGCACCAUAUAUUUAACCUGCUGUGCCAUAAGGGAAAUCCCUGGGUUGUUUGUUUUUGGUUACUGUUAUAUGAACCAUUUGUAUAUUUUGAAAUUAAGCCUUUGUUUGUUGCAUUAUUUGCAAAUAUAUUCUCCCAGUUCAUAGGUUUUCUUUUUGUUUUGGUGAUGGGUCUGUGCUGGCCCAAUUCUGGGUCUUUUGUGAUUCUAUAAAAAUUUUAUGAUUAUUUGUUCUAGUUCUGUGAAAAACACCAUGGGUAAUUUGAAUAGAGAUAGCAUUAAAUCUUAUAGUUUGCUUUGGGUACUAUGGCCAUUUUAAGAAAAUUAAUUCUUCCAAUCUAAGAUUACAGGAUAUCUUUCCAUUUCUUUAAAUGUUUGAUUAGAUUGUAUUUGUUUAUUUUUGCCCUUAUUUCUUUUGCCUUAGGAGAAUUAGAAGAAGAAUGACAAACCAAGCCCAAAGUCAGCAGAGGAAGGAAAUAAAUAAAUAUCAGAGAGAAAAUAAAA
This 2472-nucleotide long non-coding RNA is filed under the name Sus scrofa (pig). RNAcentral describes it as "lncRNA (ENSSSCG00030045859.1)". The record is from RNAcentral. Lineage: Eukaryota; Metazoa; Chordata; Mammalia; Artiodactyla; Suidae.